This 253-nucleotide ribosomal RNA is filed under the name uncultured prokaryote. Its description in RNAcentral is "partial 16S ribosomal RNA". It matches the Rfam family "Bacterial small subunit ribosomal RNA", at positions 525 to 777 of the family's 1533-position model. The record is from RNAcentral.
ACGUAGGUGGCAAGCGUUGUCCGGAAUUAUUGGGCGUAAAGCGCGCGCAGGCGGUCCUUUAAGUCUGAUGUGAAAGCCCACGGCUCAACCGUGGAGGGUCAUUGGAAACUGGGGGACUUGAGUGCAGAAGAGGAGAGUGGAAUUCCACGUGUAGCGGUGAAAUGCGUAGAUAUCGGAAGGAACAUCAGUGGCGAAAGCGGCUUCCUGGACCAGUACCGACGUUCAGGCACGAAAGCGUGGGGAGCAAACAGGA